RNAcentral lists this ribosomal RNA (460 nucleotides) under uncultured bacterium. RNAcentral describes it as "partial 16S ribosomal RNA". It matches the Rfam family "Bacterial small subunit ribosomal RNA", at positions 338 to 795 of the family's 1533-position model. The record is from RNAcentral.
CCUACGGGAGGCAGCAGUGAGGAAUAUUGGUCAAUGGACGCAAGUCUGAACCAGCCAUGCCGCGUGCAGGAAGACGGCUCUAUGAGUUGUAAACUGCUUUUGUACGGGGGUACACGCAGAUACGCGUAUCUGUCUGAAAGUAUCGUACGAAUAAGGAUCGGCUCACCUCGUGCCAGCAUCCGCGGUAAUACGGGGGAUUCAAGCGUUACUCGGAUUUAUUGGGUGUAACGGGCGCGUAGGCGGUAGGAGAAGUUAGAGGUGAAAUCCCGGGGCUCAACUUCGGAAUUGCCUCUGAUACUGUUCGGCUAGAGAGUAGUAGCGGUAGGCGGAAUGUAUGGUGUAGCGGUGAAAUGCGUAGAGAUCAGACAGAACACCGAUGGCGAAGGCAGCUUACCAAGCUACUUCUGACGUUGAGGCACGAAAGCGUGGGGAGCAAACAGGAUUAGAUACCCGUGUAGUC